AACAGGAUUAGAUACCCUGGUAGUCCACGCCGUAAACGAUGUCGACCAGCCGUUGGGUGCCUAGCGCACUUUGUGGCGAAGUUAACGCGAUAAGUCGACCGCCUGGGGAGUACGGCCGCAAGGUUAAAACUCAAAUGAAUUGACGGGGGCCCGCACAAGCGGUGGAGCAUGUGGUUUAAUUCGAUGCAACGCGAAGAACCUUACCUACUCUUGACAUCCUGCGAAUUUGGUAGAGAUACCUUAGUGCCUUCGGGAACGCAGAGACAGGUGCAGCAUGGCUGUCGUCAGCUCGUGUUGUGAAAUGUUGGGUUAAGUCCCGUAACGAGCGCAACCCUUGUCCUUAUUUGCCAGCGCGUAAUGGCGGGAACUCUAAGGAGACUGCCGGUGAUAAACCGGAGGAAGGUGGGGACGACGUCAAGUCAUCAUGGCCCUUACGAGUAGGGCUACACACGUGCUACAAUGGUCGGUACAAAGGGUUGCCAACUCGCGAGAGUGAGCCAAUCCCGAAAAGCCGAUCUCAGUCCGGAUCGGAGUCUGCAACUCGACUCCGUGAAGUCGGAAUCGCUAGUAAUCGUGGAUCAGAAUGCCACGGUGAAUACGUUCCCGGGCCUUGUACACACCGCCCGUCACACCAUGGGAGUGGACUGCACCAGAAGUGGUUAGCCUAACGCAAGAGGGCGAUCACCACGGUGUGGUUCAUGACUGGGGUGAAGUCGUAACAAGGUAACC
Molecule: ribosomal RNA, 729 nt
Filed under: uncultured bacterium
Lineage: Bacteria
Description: bacterial SSU rRNA
Rfam family: Bacterial small subunit ribosomal RNA
Source: RNAcentral